ACAGAUAUACCACAUUGAAAACCUCGGUUCUCGUCCAAUCAUUGAAGUUAAGCAAUGUCGGGUCCGGUCAGUACUUGGGAGGGUGACCACCUAAGAACAUCAGGUGUAUGCUGUAAGCU
Non-coding RNA from Cordylochernes scorpioides, 119 nucleotides. Lineage: Eukaryota; Metazoa; Arthropoda; Arachnida; Pseudoscorpiones; Chernetidae. The record is from the annotation of a GenBank genome assembly.